Molecule: ribosomal RNA, 259 nt
Filed under: uncultured bacterium
Lineage: Bacteria
Description: partial 16S ribosomal RNA
Rfam family: Bacterial small subunit ribosomal RNA
Source: RNAcentral
UCAAGCUAUACUGUCGGUGAUAUACCGAAGGAAGGUGAGGAUCACGUCAAGUCGUCAUGACCCUUAUGAGCUGGGCUACACACGUGUUACAAUGGCAACCACAAAAGGAAGCAAUGACGCGAGUCGGAGCGAAUCCCCAAAAGUUGUCUCAGUCCGGAUUGUUCUCUGCAACUCGAGAGCAUGAAGUUGGAAUCACUAGUAAUCGUGGAUCAGCACGCCACGGUGAACUCGUACCUGGGCCUUGUACUCACCGCCCGUC